CGCGGCCUAUCAGCUUGUUGGUGAGGUAAUGGCUCACCAAGGCUUCGACGGGUAGCCGGCCUGAGAGGGCGACCGGCCACACUGGGACUGAGAUACGGCCCAGACUCCUACGGGAGGCAGCAGUGGGGAAUAUUGCACAAUGGGCGCAAGCCUGAUGCAGCAACGCCGCGUGCGGGAUGACGGCCUUCGGGUUGUAAACCGCUUUCAGUAGGGACGAAGCUAACGUGACGGUACCUACAGAAGAAGGACCGGCUAACUACGUGCCAGCAGCCGCGGUGAUACGUAGGGUCCGAGCGUUGUCCGGAAUUAUUGGGCGUAAAGGGCUUGUAGGCGGUCCGUCGCGUCAGGAGUGAAAACUCGGGGCUUAACCCCGAGCCUGCUUUUGAUACGGGCGGACUAGAGGGAUGCAGGGGAGAACGGAAUUCCUGGUGGAGCGGUGGAAUGCGCAGAUAUCAGGAGGAACACCGGUGGCGAAGGCGGUUCUCUGGGCAUCACCUGACGCUGAGGAGCGAAAGCGUGGGGAGCAAACAGGCUUAGAUACCCUGGUAGUCCACGCCGUAAACGGUGGGCACUAGGUGUGGGGGACAUUCCACGUUCUCCGUGCCGAAGCUAACGCAUUAAGUGCCCCGCCUGGGGAGUACGG
RNAcentral lists this ribosomal RNA (643 nucleotides) under uncultured bacterium. RNAcentral's name for it is "bacterial SSU rRNA". It matches the Rfam family "Bacterial small subunit ribosomal RNA", at positions 232 to 885 of the family's 1533-position model. The record is from RNAcentral.